Molecule: transfer RNA, 74 nt
Organism: Culex pipiens (northern house mosquito)
Lineage: Eukaryota; Metazoa; Arthropoda; Insecta; Diptera; Culicidae
Rfam family: tRNA
About the family: Transfer RNA (tRNA) molecules are approximately 80 nucleotides in length. Their secondary structure includes four short double-helical elements and three loops (D, anti-codon, and T loops).
Source: Rfam
GCCCGUGUAGAUCAAUCGGACCGCUUACUGGACUCACAAUCCAGAGGUUGCUGGUUCGAACCCCGCGGCGGGCG